This is a regulatory RNA element of Enterococcus hirae ATCC 9790, 231 nucleotides long. It matches the Rfam family "T-box leader". From Rfam's summary of the family: Uncharged tRNA acts as the effector for transcription antitermination of genes in the T-box leader family. T-boxes are found upstream of many aminoacyl-tRNA synthetase genes and some amino acid biosynthetic genes usually in Gram-positive bacteria. The anticodon of a specific tRNA base pairs to a specifier sequence within the T-box motif, and the NCCA acceptor tail of the tRNA base pairs to a conserved bulge in the T-box antiterminator hairpin. The record is from Rfam. Lineage: Bacteria; Bacillati; Bacillota; Bacilli; Lactobacillales; Enterococcaceae.
UCAACGACAUCGAAAAGAAGAGUAGCGAUUAAAUGUUUGAAGAGAGUCUCUGGCAGGUGGAAAGAGAUAGCAGUUAAUGGUGAAACACAUCUUGGAGUCGAUUUUCUGAAAUACAGUAGGAAAAUCCGGGAAGCCCGUUACAGCUGCGGUCAUUGUUUGAUGACCAGAUAAGGUUAGUUUCCGUGAGGGACUAGCAAAAAAAGGUGGAACCACGUAAUUUACGUCCUUUGG